RNAcentral lists this unclassified non-coding RNA (277 nucleotides) under uncultured fungus. RNAcentral describes it as "sequence contains ITS1, 5.8S rRNA gene". The stretch from base 229 to 277 matches the Rfam family "5.8S ribosomal RNA", at positions 1 to 49 of the family's 154-position model. Lineage: Eukaryota; Fungi. The record is from RNAcentral.
UCUCCGUUGGUGAACCAGCGGAGGGAUCAUUACAGAGUUAUCUAACUCCCAAACCCAUGUGAACUUACCUUUGUUGCCUCGGCAGAAGCUGCUCGGUGCACCCUACCUUGGAACGGCCUACCCUGUAGCGCCUUACCCUGGAACGGCUUACCCUGUAGCGCCCCGCCGGUGGAUUUUCAAACUCUUGUUAUUUUAUUGUAAUCUGAGCGUCUUAUUUUAAUAAGUCAAAACUUUCAACAACGGAUCUCUUGGUUCUGGCAUCGAUGAAGAACGCAGC